RNAcentral lists this unclassified non-coding RNA (469 nucleotides) under Capparis cartilaginea. RNAcentral's name for it is "partial contains psbA (psbA) gene and psbA-trnH intergenic spacer". The record is from RNAcentral. Lineage: Eukaryota; Viridiplantae; Streptophyta; Magnoliopsida; Brassicales; Capparaceae.
CUGCUGUUGAGGCUCCAUCUACGAAUGGAUAAUAUUUGAGUCUUAGUCUCAACCUAGUUUAUUAAAAAAAGGAGCAAUAUCAACCUUCUUUAGAUCUUAUAUUAAGAAAAGAAAGUUGAUAUUGCUCCUUUUUUUAUAUUAUAAGUUUUUAUAUUAUAAAGAUUUUAAAUAACAAAAUAAUAAAAAAUUUUCUUUUAGUAUCAUACUUUCCUGAUUUAGUAAUGUUAUCUACUAUUUACUAUUCUUUUUUUUUAUAAAUAUAAGUAAGUUUUUACCUAGUUUUUUGAAAUUAUUUUUUUGAAAAAAAUAAGGUGGAAUUUUCUACUUCUUCAGUCUUGUAUUCAAGUUUUUGGUUUUUGAUUUUCGAAAUCAAUUUGAAAAUAAGUUAAACAARACAGUUAAACAAGACAAAAAUAGUAGGGGCGGAUGUAGCCAAGUGGAUCAAGGCAGUGGAUUGUGAAUCCACCCA